GCUCUGAUAGUGUAGUGGUUAUCACGCGCCCUUCACACGGGCGAGGUCCCCGGUUCGAUCCCGGGUUGGAGCA
Quaeritorhiza haematococci is the source of this 73-nucleotide non-coding RNA. NCBI's taxonomy places the organism in Eukaryota, Fungi, Chytridiomycota, Chytridiomycetes, Quaeritorhizaceae. The record is from the annotation of a GenBank genome assembly.